This 488-nucleotide ribosomal RNA is filed under the name uncultured bacterium. RNAcentral's name for it is "bacterial SSU rRNA". It matches the Rfam family "Bacterial small subunit ribosomal RNA", at positions 903 to 1397 of the family's 1533-position model. The record is from RNAcentral.
AAAUGAAUAGACGGGCACCCGCACAAGCGGUGGAGCAUGCUGUUUAAUUCGAAGAUACGCGAAGAACCUUACCUAGACUUGACAUCCCGGGCAAAGCUAUAGAAAUAUAGUGGAGGUUACCCCGGUGACAGGUGGUGCAUGGUUGUCGUCAGCUCGUGUCGUGAGAUGUUCGGUUAAGUCCGAUAACGAGCGCAACCCUUAUCGUUAGUUACUAACAUUUAGUUGAGAACUCUAGCGAGACUGCCGAUGAUAAAUCGGAGGAAGGUGGGGAUGACGUCAAAUCAUCAUGCCCCUUACGUCUAGGGCCACAGGCGUGCUACAAUGGCCAGUACAAAAAGAAGCAAUACCGUGAGGUGGAGCUAAUCUCUAAAACUGGUCUCAGUUCGGAUCGGAGUCUGCAACUCGACUCCGUGAAGUUGGAAUCGCUAGUAAUCCUGAAUCAGAAUGUCAGGGUGAAUACGUUCCCGGGUGUUGUACACACCGCCCGU